GACGAACGCUGGCGGCGUGCCUAAUACAUGCAAGUAGAACGCACAGUUUAUACCGUAUCUUGCUACACCAUAGACUGUGAGUUGCGAACGGGUGAGUAACGCGUAGGUAACCUGCCUGGUAGCGGGGGAUAACUAUUGGAAACGAUAGCUAAUACCGCAUAAUAUUAAUUAUUGCAUGAUAAUUAAUUGAAAGGUGCAAUUGCACCACUACCAGAUGGACCUGCGUUGUAUUAGCUAGUAGGUGAGGUAACGGCUCACCUAGGCGACGAUACAUAGCCGACCUGAGAGGGUGAUCGGCCACAAUGGGACUGAGAAACGGCCCAGACUCCUACGGGAGGCAGCAGUAGGGAAUCUUCGGCAAUGGACGAAAGGCUGAACGAGCAACGCCGCGGGAGUGAAGAAGGUUUUCGGAUCGUAAAGCUCUGUUGUAAGAGAAGAAAGGGUGUGAGAGUGGAAAGUUCACACUGUGACGGUAUCUUACCAGAAAGGGACGGCUAACUACGUG
This 505-nucleotide ribosomal RNA is filed under the name uncultured bacterium. RNAcentral's name for it is "partial 16S ribosomal RNA". It matches the Rfam family "Bacterial small subunit ribosomal RNA", at positions 28 to 507 of the family's 1533-position model. The record is from RNAcentral.